ACAGAUGGUUUGAGGCCUGCUAAAAGCACUGAGGACAAGGGAGACACAUCCAUGCGUUGUGAUAAUGUAUAUAAUAGUUCGUCUACUGGUUUGGUCGAUAAAUUUUGUGGCGAUAAUGUACAUAGUAGUUUGCCCAGUGGAUCGGUCAACAGAGAACAGCAGAAGGAUCAUGUUAAAGAGAGUCUUCCAUCUUUGAUCGAUAUGGGUGAAGGACCAGAUAAUCAAACUGUUAGAAGUGCUUCAAGGAAGAAAAGGAAAGAAAGAAACAAGAUUAAGAACCCUAGCUUGAUAACUUCUGGGGAAGAUGGUAAAUGUCCGAAAAGAAAUUCUCAGAAGUCCUUUAUUUCUGUCAACUCCCGAGGUAGGGAUCCAAGUUCUGAUUGUGUCACUUUAAUAGAUUCG
This 402-nucleotide unclassified non-coding RNA is filed under the name Hevea brasiliensis (rubber tree). The record is from RNAcentral. Lineage: Eukaryota; Viridiplantae; Streptophyta; Magnoliopsida; Malpighiales; Euphorbiaceae.